UCGAGCCGGUAAGCCGCAUGGAGUCGACAUCUCGGCUUUUAUGAAAUAGAGGUACAUAGCUUUGCCUUCGCUCAACCCAGCUACAUGCCUGGCAUGAUGAGAUUGUAAAGGAAUGUACGACGGUCAAGAUCCUCUGCAAUGGACGGCAUCAACUUGGGCUCCCCAGCUGAAGUUCCGGAGCUGCAAUUCACGAAAUACUUCUUUUAACGAAACGAACGACCAUUUUAUAUAUAAAUAAAAAACGAGGCUCGAUAGUUACCUGCAUAGCAUCUCAGUGAUGGGGCGGGAAGUAAUGAGACUCGAGUCUUCUCCAUUAGCAAUUCUGAUAAUGUAAGGACGAAUAUCCUUAUACGUAAUAACAGGUAUAAAUAGGACAGAAUAGCUAACGGAAGCUACUUCAUAAACCACAAGGGGUUAUGUACUUAUAUUACGAGCACACGGAGGUCACCUGCAAAAGCUUAUAACCACAUGAAGGUGGAGUACUAUUUACCCUUGUUAUUUCAUUUAUCAUAUUUCGCAUUAACUUUAGAAUAUAUUAUGAUAAUUAAGCCUGAUCAUCUGAUACAAUAAACAGUAAAUAUUAUUAUGUAUAAAUUAGGAGUCAUAUAUUAAAAGUGCAUCACAUGAGUGAGUAUAUGGUGUGGGAAAACAUGGAUAUAUGGGUUCUUACUGUUUUCCCACUUUUUAUGAUUUAAGUGCAGACAGCAUCUGAUGCAUGCACUCUCUUUCGAAGGUAAAAA
This is a non-coding RNA of Erythranthe guttata (spotted monkey flower), 740 nucleotides long. NCBI's taxonomy places the organism in Eukaryota, Viridiplantae, Streptophyta, Magnoliopsida, Lamiales, Phrymaceae. The record is from RefSeq and is a predicted model, not a curated record.